ACAAGCGGUGGAGCAUGUGGUUUAAUUCGACGCAACGCGAAAACCUUACCUGGGCUUGACAUGCUGGUAGUAGUGAACCGAAAGGGAAACGAUCCUGAGCAAUCAGGAAGCCAACACAGGUGCUGCAUGACUGUCGUCAGCUCGUGUCGUGAGAUGUUGGGUUAAGUCCCGUAACGAGCGCAACCCCUAUCUUUAGUUGCCAUCAUUGAGUUGGGCACUCUAAAGAGACUGCCGGUGUCAAACCGGAGGAAGGUGGGGAUGACGUCAAGUCCUCAUGGCCUUUAUGACCAGGGCUACACACGUACUACAAUGGCCGGUACAAAGGGCAGCGACACAGCGAUGUGAAGCGAAUCCCGAAAAGCCGGUCUCAGUCCGGAUUGGAGUCUGCAACUCGACUCCAUGAAGUUGGAAUCGCUAGUAAUCGCGGAUCAGCACGCCGCGGUGAAUACGUUCCCGGGCCUU
This 462-nucleotide ribosomal RNA is filed under the name uncultured Desulfocapsa sp. RNAcentral describes it as "bacterial SSU rRNA". It matches the Rfam family "Bacterial small subunit ribosomal RNA", at positions 925 to 1382 of the family's 1533-position model. Lineage: Bacteria; Pseudomonadati; Thermodesulfobacteriota; Desulfobulbia; Desulfobulbales; Desulfocapsaceae. The record is from RNAcentral.